UCCUACGGGAGGCAGCAGUGAGGAAUAUUGGUCAAUGGACGAGAGUCUGAACCAGCCAAGUAGCGUGAAGGAUGACUGCCCUAUGGGUUGUAAACUUCUUUUAUAUGGGAAUAAAAUGUUCCACGUGUGGGAUUUUGUAUGUACCAUAUGAAUAAGGAUCGGCUAACUCCGUGCCAGCAGCCGCGGUAAUA
RNAcentral lists this ribosomal RNA (191 nucleotides) under uncultured bacterium. RNAcentral describes it as "partial 16S ribosomal RNA". It matches the Rfam family "Bacterial small subunit ribosomal RNA", at positions 337 to 525 of the family's 1533-position model. The record is from RNAcentral.